Molecule: non-coding RNA, 1268 nt
Organism: Pimephales promelas (fathead minnow)
Lineage: Eukaryota; Metazoa; Chordata; Actinopteri; Cypriniformes; Leuciscidae
Source: RefSeq, a predicted model, not a curated record
AAUAGAUUCACUUGCAACGCGUCAUACCGAGGUUUGUGGUUUGAGUAAAUAAGUCCUUCCGCAAACAAACAAGCUGCAAGAAAAGGGGGCGUUUUGAGGUUUGAAAUUCACCACUCACAACCAUUAACACAACAAAUGUGGUGACGUAAUGGAGGUGCAACCAAUAACGUUAGUGUAUUGCUUCAAGCGCGAGAAAAAUACUUUAAAAUUACAGCAUUCUUUCCCGAAGCAAAGAGAACAGUUCAAGGUUUGGAAACAGUUUUCUUCUAUUCACCUUAUUUUGCACGACAACAAGGGUGACGCCAUUGCGUUCGUUUUGUCAUCUUACUCCCGUCUGAGAAAGACUUCAACUUCCGGCUCAUGAGAGGGAUGAGAUUCUGCGCUAGUUGAAACGAACGGGCCUAAGGACGGGAAUCCGAUUGAGGAACACCCCAGAAAUGGCUCGGCUACGAUGUUCCGAUAAAGAAGUCACGCCGGGUGUUGAAUAUUGUCAGAUUCAGAUGCAUCAAUGAGAGUCAGUAAUGCAGUGGAUAACUAUGAGGAUGAUCACAUCCACAUGCCCCACAGCUGUGAUGCAGAAUCACAAUGGGAGGAUCAAUCUGUCUUUGGCCACAACCUGAUCUUCUCAGAGAGACUCUCCAGCGUCUUGAUGCUCUUUAGCGAAAGUAUGAGCAGCACAGACUAACGUUACAUGAAGAAUCUUACAACGCUUCGAAAAGAAUAAAAAAGGCACAUGACGUGAACAUUGCGGAAUCUGUAAGGCGCCUCCAUAAUUCAGAGAACAACCCACACAAAUACGUUCCACAAACCAGAAUAAAUUCAUCACAUAACCUGGCUGUGACCACUUACCUCUUCGAAGAAUUAAGGUCAACUUUUACAGACGUUGACCCUGAAUGUGUAAAAGGUUGGAAGAUGUAUUUUGAGACUUUGCGGAGGAAGUAUUCUUUGGCUCAGCCUGAAAAGGCCCAGAAAAGAAAAACUAUGACAAGCAUUGCAAAGAACCUUCAAAGAAAGCGACUGUUGCUGGAGACCAGGUCCGGGGUUGUACAAACCAACACAGAAAAGGAACUUUGGAAGACCGCAACAAUAGAACUGAUGUCUGAUGAAGAUGAUGCUAUUGUUGAUGGAAGGCCAGUGUGAAUGGUGAGGUCUCCACCAAUCUGCUCUCUGCUAGGUACUAUAAAACAGACUAGAGGCUGACCCACACUAUGCGUCACACCACCAGCGUAUCAUGGCAGUUUGAAAAAUGUUAACUCGUAUAAAAAAAA